RNAcentral lists this ribosomal RNA (663 nucleotides) under uncultured cyanobacterium. RNAcentral's name for it is "bacterial SSU rRNA". It matches the Rfam family "Bacterial small subunit ribosomal RNA", at positions 99 to 795 of the family's 1533-position model. Lineage: Bacteria; Bacillati; Cyanobacteriota. The record is from RNAcentral.
CGGACGGGUGAGUAACGCGUGAGAAUCUGCCUUCAGGACGGGGACAACAGCUGGAAACGGCUGCUAAAACCCGAUGUGCCGCAAGGUAAAAGUAUUUAUAGCCUGAAAAUGAGCUCGCGUCUGAUUAGCUAGUUGGUAGAGUAAGAGCCUACCAAGGCCACGAUCAGUAGCUGGUCUGAGAGGAUGAGCAGCCACACUGGGACUGAGACACGGCCCAGACUCCUACGGGAGGCAGCAGUGGGGAAUUUUCCGCAAUGGGCGAAAGCCUGACGGAGCAAGACCGCGUGAGGGAGGAAGGCCCUUGGGUUGUAAACCUCUUUUAUUAAGGAAGAAGAACUGACGGUACUUAAUGAAUCAGCAUCGGCUAACUCCGUGCCAGCAGCCGCGGUAAUACGGAGGAUGCAAGCGUUAUCCGGAAUCAUUGGGCGUAAAGAGUCCGUAGGUGGUUUGUCAAGUCUGCUGUCAAAGCCUGGAGCUCAACUCCAUCAAGGCAGUGGAAACUGAGAGACUAGAGUCUAGGAGGGGUAGAGGGAAUUCCCAGUGUAGCGGUGAAAUGCGUAGAGAUUGGGAAGAACACCGGUGGCGAAAGCGCUCUACUGGACUAGAACUGACACUGAGGGACGAAAGCUAGGGGAGCGAAAGGGAUUAGAUACCCCUGUAGUC